RNAcentral lists this ribosomal RNA (254 nucleotides) under uncultured bacterium. RNAcentral's name for it is "partial 16S ribosomal RNA". It matches the Rfam family "Bacterial small subunit ribosomal RNA", at positions 524 to 776 of the family's 1533-position model. The record is from RNAcentral.
UACAGGGGGGUGCAAACGUUGCUCGGAAUUAUUGGGCGUAAAGCGCACGUAGGUGGUUCGUUAUGUCAGAUGUGAAAGCCCUUGGCUCAACUGAGGAAGUGCAUCUGAAACUGGCGAGCUAGAGUAUGUAAGAGGGUCGCGGAAUUCCCGGUGUAGAGGUGAAAUUCGUAGAUAUCGGGAGGAACACCGGUGGCGAAGGCGGGUCUCUGGGCAGUAACUGACGCUGAGGAGCGAAAGCGUGGGGAGCGAACAGG